UUGUCUCUUAGAGUUCCUUUGAACGCUUCAUGCAUGAAACUAUUAUCUAUUUGGUCUACAAUCCAUUAGAAUUGAUAGUCCCUUAUUGAAUGAAGUGUUUGGGGGAACUCUUAGGUUCAA
Molecule: microRNA precursor, 120 nt
Filed under: Trifolium pratense (red clover)
Lineage: Eukaryota; Viridiplantae; Streptophyta; Magnoliopsida; Fabales; Fabaceae
Description: pre miRNA mir-395
Rfam family: mir-395 microRNA precursor family
About the family: mir-395 was identified in both Arabidopsis thaliana and Oryza sativa computationally and was later experimentally verified. mir-395 is thought to target mRNAs coding for ATP sulphurylases. The mature sequence is excised from the 3' arm of the hairpin.
Source: Rfam by way of RNAcentral